CGAGUUCACCGGGGGUGUCCGUUGCAAGAUGGUCUGAGAAAUACCCCACUCACCUGAUCUGGAUCAUGCCAGCGUAGGGAGCGUGAAGGUUGGCCUUC
RNAcentral lists this non-coding RNA (98 nucleotides) under Rhodoferax ferrireducens. RNAcentral describes it as "TPP sequence". It matches the Rfam family "TPP riboswitch aptamer (THI element)". Rfam says of the family: Vitamin B(1) in its active form thiamin pyrophosphate (TPP) is an essential coenzyme that is synthesised by coupling of pyrimidine and thiazole moieties in bacteria. The previously detected thiamin-regulatory element, thi box was extended, resulting in a new, highly conserved RNA secondary structure, the THI element, which is widely distributed in eubacteria and also occurs in some archaea. Analysis of operon structures identified a large number of new candidate thiamin-regulated genes, mostly transporters, in various prokaryotic organisms. The record is from RNAcentral. RNAcentral also lists the same sequence under 1 other name. Lineage: Bacteria; Pseudomonadati; Pseudomonadota; Betaproteobacteria; Burkholderiales; Comamonadaceae.